Molecule: ribosomal RNA, 481 nt
Filed under: uncultured bacterium
Lineage: Bacteria
Description: partial 16S ribosomal RNA
Rfam family: Bacterial small subunit ribosomal RNA
Source: RNAcentral
GAUGAACGCUGGCGGCGUGCUUAACACAUGCAAGUCGAACGAAGCAUUUGCGACAGAUUUUUUCGGAAUGAAGUUGCUUAUGACUGAGUGGCGGACGGGUGAGUAACGCGUGGGUAACCUGCCUUGUACUGGGGGAUAGCAGCUGGAAACGGCUGGUAAUACCGCAUAAGCGCACAAUGUUGCAUGACAUGGUGUGAAAAGCUCCGGUGGUAUAAGAUGGACCCGCGUCUGAUUAGCUAGUUGGUGAGAUAACAGCCCACCAAGGCGACGAUCAGUAGCCGACCUGAGAGGGUGACCGGCCACAUUGGGACUGAGACACGGCCCAGACUCCUACGGGAGGAAGCAGUGGGGAAUAUUGCACAAUGGAGGAAACUCUGAUGCAGCGACGCCGCGUGAGUGAAGAAGUAAUUCGUGAUGUAAAGCUCUAUCAGCAGGGAAGAUAGUGACGGUACCUGACUAAGAAGCUCCGGCUAAAUACGUG